GUAGGUGAACCUGCGGAAGGAUCAUUACAGAGAACAUGCCCUCAAGGGUAGAUCUCCCACCCUAUGUUUAUUUUACCUUUGUUGCUUUGGCGGGCCCGUCUCGCGACCACCGGCUCCGGCUGGUCAGUGCCCGCCAGAGGACCUAAACUCUUAAUUUAGUGUCGUCUGAGUACAAUAAAAAAAUAGUUAAAACUUUCAACAACGGAUCUCUUGGUUCUG
This 219-nucleotide unclassified non-coding RNA is filed under the name rhizosphere metagenome. RNAcentral describes it as "partial ribosomal RNA internal transcribed spacer region". The record is from RNAcentral.